RNAcentral lists this ribosomal RNA (44 nucleotides) under Fusarium fujikuroi. RNAcentral's name for it is "partial 28S ribosomal RNA". RNAcentral also lists the same sequence under 45 other names. The record is from RNAcentral. Lineage: Eukaryota; Fungi; Ascomycota; Sordariomycetes; Hypocreales; Nectriaceae.
GUUGACCUCGGAUCAGGUAGGAAUACCCGCUGAACUUAAGCAUA